This 426-nucleotide ribosomal RNA is filed under the name uncultured bacterium. Its description in RNAcentral is "bacterial SSU rRNA". It matches the Rfam family "Bacterial small subunit ribosomal RNA", at positions 354 to 796 of the family's 1533-position model. The record is from RNAcentral.
GUGGGGAAUCUUGGACAAUGGGCGCAAGCCUGAUCCAGCCAUGCCGCGUGAGUGAUGAAGGCCCUAGGGUUGUAAAGCUCUUUCGCACGCGACGAUAAUGACGGUAGCGUGAGAAGAAGCCCCGGCUAACUUCGUGCCAGCAGCCGCGGUAAUACGAAGGGGGCUAGCGUUGUUCGGAAUCACUGGGCGUAAAGCGCACGUAGGCGGAUUGUUAAGUCAGGGGUGAAAUCCCGAGGCUCAACCUCGGAACUGCCUUUGAUACUGGCAAUCUUUGAGUCCGGGAGAGGUGAGUGGAAUUCCGAGUGUAGAGGUGAAAUUCGUAGAUAUUCGGAAGAACACCAGUGGCGAAGGCGGCUCACUGGCCCGGUACUGACGCUGAGGUGCGAAAGCGUGGGGAGCAAACAGGAUUAGAUACCCUAGUAGUCC